UACAGAGGUCCCGAGCGUUGUUCGGAUUCACUGGGCGUAAAGGGUGCGUAGGUGGCCUAAAAAGUUUGAUGUGAAAGCUCAGGGCUUAACCCUGAAAUGGCAUUGAAUACUGUUGGGCUGGAGGUUUGGAGGGGGGACUGGAAUUCUUGGUGUAGCAGUGAAAUGCGUAGAUAUCAAGAGGAACACCAGUGGCGAAGGCGAGUCCCUGGACAACACCUGACACUGAGGCACGAAAGCCGGGGGAGCAAAC
RNAcentral lists this ribosomal RNA (250 nucleotides) under uncultured bacterium. RNAcentral's name for it is "partial 16S ribosomal RNA". It matches the Rfam family "Bacterial small subunit ribosomal RNA", at positions 524 to 773 of the family's 1533-position model. The record is from RNAcentral.